RNAcentral lists this ribosomal RNA (494 nucleotides) under uncultured bacterium. RNAcentral's name for it is "partial 16S ribosomal RNA". It matches the Rfam family "Bacterial small subunit ribosomal RNA", at positions 28 to 507 of the family's 1533-position model. The record is from RNAcentral.
GACGAACGCUGGCGGCGCGCUUAACACAUGCAAGUCGAACGGAAAGGCCUGCUUUCCCUUGUGGAUUGCGGGUACUCGAGUGGCGAACGGGUGAGUAACACGUGAGUGAUCUGCCCCCAACUUGGGUAUAAGCCUGGGAAACUGGGUCUAAUUCCCGAUAGGACUGCAGGGUGGUGCCUGUGGUGGAAAACGAUCUUCUAGUGGUUGGGGAUGAGCUCGCGGCCUAUCAGCUUGUUGGUGGGGUAAUGGCCUACCAAGGCGGCGACGGGUAGCCGGCCUGAGAGGGUGGACGGACACAUUGGGACUGAGAUACGGCCCAGACUCCUACGGGAGGCAGCAGUGGGGAAUAUUGCACAAUGGGCGGAAGCCUGAUGCAGCGACGCCGCGUGGGGGAUGACGGCCUUCGGGUUGUAAACUCCUUUCGACCGCGAGGAAGCCACCUGGUUGGAAGGGUGGUGACGGUAGUGGUAGAAGAAGCACCGGCUAACUACGUG